Hylaeus volcanicus is the source of this 73-nucleotide non-coding RNA. The record is from the annotation of a RefSeq genome assembly. Lineage: Eukaryota; Metazoa; Arthropoda; Insecta; Hymenoptera; Colletidae.
GCAGGCAUGGUCUAGUGGUUAUGACGUCUGCUUAACACGCAGAAGGUCCCGAGUUCGAGCCUCGGUGCUUGUA